ACUCCUACGGGAGGCAGCAGCUAAGAAUAUUCCGCAAUGGACGAAAGUCUGACGGAGCGACGCCGCGUGGAUGAUGAAGGCCGAAAGGUUGUAAAGUCCUUUUGCUGGGGAAGAAUAAGCGUGGGAGGGAAUGCCCGCGUGAUGACAUGAACCGGCGAAUAAGCCCCGGCUAACUACGUGCCAGCAGCCGCGGUAACACGUAGGGGGCGAGCGUUGUUCGGAAUUACUGGGCGUAAAGGGCAUGUAGGCGGCUUUGUAAGCUUGGCGUGAAAUUCCACGGCUUAACCGUGGGAAUGCGUUGAGAACUGCGAGGCUUGAGUGACGGAGAGGGAGCUAGAAUUCCUGGUGUAGGGGUGGAAUCUGUAGAGAUCAGGAAGAAUACCAAUGGCGAAGGCAAGCUCCUGGCCGAUGACUGACGCUGAGGUGCGAAAGUGUGGGGAUCAAACAGGAUUAGAUACCCUGGUAGUCCACACUGUAAACGAUGUACACUAGGUGCUGGGGCGGAUGCUUCAGUGCCGUAGCUAACGUGAUAAGUGUACCGCCUGGGGAGUAUGCUCGCAAGGGUGAAACUCAAAGGAAUUGACGGGG
RNAcentral lists this ribosomal RNA (588 nucleotides) under uncultured bacterium. Its description in RNAcentral is "bacterial SSU rRNA". It matches the Rfam family "Bacterial small subunit ribosomal RNA", at positions 335 to 918 of the family's 1533-position model. The record is from RNAcentral.